GCAUCGCUAGAUGUCGGGAGACUAGGCUACUUUACUACACAGGAGGAGUAGGGGGAGGAGGAGGAGAAAGAGGAAAAAGGAAGUGCAGGAGGGGGGAAAAGGAAGUGGAGGAGGGGAAAAAAAGCACGGGAGAAGGAGAAAAAGUAGGAGAGGAGGAGAAAAGGAGGAGGAGAGACAAAGGAGAAGGACGAGGAGAAAGAGGAGAAAAGGAGGCGGAGGAGGAGAAAAGGAGGCGGAGGAGGAGAAAAAGGAGGCGGAGGAGGAGAAAAAGGAGGCGGAGGAGGAGAAAAAGGAGGAGGGGAAGAGGGGAGGAGCAGGAGGAGGAGAAGAGCAGAAGGAGGAGGAGAAAAAGGAGGAGGGGAGGAGCAGGAGGAGGAGGAAAAAGGAGAGAGGAGAAGAAGAAAGAGCAAGAGGAAAACCAUGGGACCAUAAGGAAAGGGCGGAAUAGGCCUCUGCGUGCGUGUGACUGCCCGCUCCCUCCUCCUCCUUUUCUUCCUCUUCCCUUCCUUUCUCCUCCUCCUCUUCCCUUCCUUUCUCCUCCUCCUCUUCCCUUCCUUUCUCCUCCUCCUCUUCCCCUCCUUUCUCCUCCUCCUCCUGCCCCCCUGCCCCUCGGAGGGUGGAGAUCCUCCUGCCACUCAGCUCCCUCUCUCUAAUCCUACAGGUGUCAGUGGCUGCAGCCCCUCUCUGCAGGCCAUCCUGUUGCUCCCCCCUCGCCCUUCCUCCUCCUCCUCCUCCUCCCCCCGCCCCGUGCUCCCGCUCCCCCUCCCCGGCUGCACAUGGGCCGGGCCGGGGCCGGGGCGCGCUGAGCCUGUGCGGAGCCCUCGGGCGGCGUUGGGCAGCCAUUACUUAGAUCGGGAGAUCUCGGCCUCCUUGGAUCCAUGCGGGGAGGGGGUCUCACACACACACACAUAUCCCCCCUCCCCUCCGACGGAUACACACACACACAGGAGAGGGCGAGCUGGGCUCCGGGUGGCCUGGGUUCCGGACGGGCAGGUGAGCGACCACCCCCUCCCCAGCUCCCUGCCCCAAGCCAGCCCGAGGCUCCCGGCCUGCAGACCGGCCCCUAAUAAUAAUGAGGAUGAGGAUGGCAUUUGUUAAGCGCUUAAGAUGUACCAGGUACUGUGCCAGGUACUGUACAAAGCCCUGGGCACCCGUAGUCUCCGGCCUGCGACUCCUGGCCCGUAGCCCCCAGCCUGCAGGGCCUGGCUUGUAGCCCCC
RNAcentral lists this long non-coding RNA (1218 nucleotides) under Ornithorhynchus anatinus (platypus). RNAcentral's name for it is "lncRNA (ENSOANG00000044911.1)". Lineage: Eukaryota; Metazoa; Chordata; Mammalia; Monotremata; Ornithorhynchidae. The record is from RNAcentral.